This 255-nucleotide ribosomal RNA is filed under the name uncultured bacterium. RNAcentral describes it as "partial 16S ribosomal RNA". It matches the Rfam family "Bacterial small subunit ribosomal RNA", at positions 524 to 777 of the family's 1533-position model. The record is from RNAcentral.
UACAGAGGGGGCAAGCGUUAUUCGGAAUUAUUGGGCGUAAAGGGCGCGUAGGCGGCUUUGCAAGUGACGGGUGAAAUCCCUCGGCUUAACCGAGGAACUGCCUGUCAAACUGCAUGGCUUGAGACCGGGAGAGGUGAGUGGAAUUCCCAGUGUAGCGGUGAAAAUGCGUAGAUAUUGGGAGGAACACCAGUGGCGAAGGCGGCUCACUGGUCCGGUACUGACGCUGAUGUGCGAAAGCGUGGGGAGCAAACAGGG